CCUACGGGGGGCAGCAGUGGGGAAUAUUGCACAAUGGGGGGAACCCUGAUGCAGCGACGCCGCGUGAGUGAAGAAGUAUUUCGGUACGUAAAGCUCUAUCAGCAGGGAAGAAAAUGACGGUACCUGACUAAGAAGCCCCGGCUAACUACGUGCCAGCAGCCGCGGUAAUACGUAGGGGGCAAGCGUUAUCCGGAUUUACUGGGUGUAAAGGGAGCGCAGACGGCUGUGCAAGUCUGGAGUGAAAGGCGGGGGCCCAACCCCCGGACUGCUCUGGAAACUGUAAAGCUGGAGUGCAGGAGAGGUAAGCGGAAUUCCUAGUGUAGCGGUGAAAUGCGUAGAUAUUAGGAGGAACACCAGUGGCGAAGGCGGCUUACUGGACUGCAACUGACGCUGAUGCUCGAAAGCGCGGGUAUCGAACAGGAUUAGAUACCCGAGUAGUC
This 440-nucleotide ribosomal RNA is filed under the name uncultured bacterium. RNAcentral describes it as "partial 16S ribosomal RNA". It matches the Rfam family "Bacterial small subunit ribosomal RNA", at positions 338 to 795 of the family's 1533-position model. The record is from RNAcentral.